Molecule: ribosomal RNA, 467 nt
Filed under: uncultured bacterium
Lineage: Bacteria
Description: partial 16S ribosomal RNA
Rfam family: Bacterial small subunit ribosomal RNA
Source: RNAcentral
GACGAACGCUGGCGGCGUGCUUAACACAUGCAAGUCGAACGGAAAGGCCCUGCUUUUGUGGGGUGCUCGAGUGGCGAACGGGUGAGUAACACGUGAGUAACCUGCCCUUGACUUUGGGAUAACUUCAGGAAACUGGGGCUAAUACCGGAUAGGAGCUCCUGCUGCAUGGGGGGGGUUGGAAAGUUUCGGCGGUUUGGGAUGGACUCGCGGCUUAUCAGCUUGUUGGUGGGGUAGUGGCUUACCAAGGCUUUGACGGGUAGCCGGCCUGAGAGGGUGACCGGCCACAUUGGGCCUGGGGUGCGGCCCGGACGCCUUCGUGCGGCAGCAGUGGGGACUAUUGCACAAUGGGCGGCAGCCUGAUGCAGCAACGCCGCGUGCGGGAUGACGGCCUUCGGGUUGUAAACCGCUUUCGCCUGUGACGAAGCGUGAGUGACGGUAAUGGGCAAAGAAGCACCGGCUACCUACGU